Molecule: ribosomal RNA, 433 nt
Filed under: uncultured bacterium
Lineage: Bacteria
Description: partial 16S ribosomal RNA
Rfam family: Bacterial small subunit ribosomal RNA
Source: RNAcentral
AACGAACGCUGGCGGCAUGCCUAACACAUGCAAGUCGAACGAGACCUUCGGGUCUAUUGGCGCACGGGUGCGUAACGCGUGGGAACCUGCCCUUAGGUUCGGAAUAACUCCCCGAAAGGGGUGCUAAUACCGGAUAAUGUCUUCGGACCAAAGAUUUAUCGCCUUUGGAUGGGCCCGCGUUGGAUUAGCUAGUUGGUAGGGUAAAAGCCUACCAAGGCGACGAUCCAUAGCUGGUCUGAGAGGAUGAUCAGCCACACUGGGACUGAGACACGGCCCAGACUCCUACGGGAGGCAGCAGUGGGGAAUAUUGGAAAAUGGGCGAAAGCCUGAUCCAGCAAUGCCGCGUGAGUGAUGAAGGCCUUAGGGUUGUAAAGCUCUUUUACCCGGGAUGAUAAUGACAGUACCGGGAGAAUAAGCUCCGGCUAACUCCGUG